RNAcentral lists this ribosomal RNA (253 nucleotides) under uncultured bacterium. RNAcentral describes it as "partial 16S ribosomal RNA". It matches the Rfam family "Bacterial small subunit ribosomal RNA", at positions 524 to 776 of the family's 1533-position model. The record is from RNAcentral.
UACGUAGGGUGCAAGCGUUGUCCGGAAUCAUUGGGCGUAAAGCGCGUGUAGGCGGCUUGGUAAGUCCGUUCUGAAAGCCCGGGGCUCAACCCCGGGAGGCGGAUGGAUACUGUCAAGCUUGAGUCCGGAAGAGGCGAGUGGAAUUCCCGGUGUAGCGGUGAAAUGCGCAGAUAUCGGGAGGAACACCAAUGGCGAAGGCAGCUCGCUGGGACGUGACUGACGCUGAGACGCGAAAGCGUGGGGAGCAAACAGG